CCAUUUAAGUUAGUGGGGUUAGGUAGUUUAUAAGUUUUAAAAGAACAGACAACAACUUACGUUAGUUCAUUCAUCAUAUUCAAACAACAGACAGUCAGAAAAACUUAAUAUCAGGGAAGAAGAAAGACAGAUGAGAGGGAAAGAUAUUGCUGAUUAAGGCUACUAAGAGGAUUUUCGGAUUUGCUACUUGAAAGUAAAAUUUACGAGAUCAAGUUGUGAUUUGGUCAACCACGCGGGAACUUUGGGGAGUGAUGUUUAAUUUAGUAAGACUUAAAUUAUCUAGGAUUUAUUUAAAUAUUAUGAACAUCGUACUAUCUUAAUUAGUAUUCAGACUUUUAUCUUGACUUAGUAGCUUUAUGGUUUUGGAGAUUUAAUUUUGAAUAUUGUCGAAUUAUGAUAUUUGGAAAUUCUGUCAACAGAUAUAGUUUAUAAAUCACUAAAUUCUUCAGGUA
Long non-coding RNA from Theobroma cacao (cacao), 452 nucleotides. RefSeq lists it as uncharacterized. NCBI's taxonomy places the organism in Eukaryota, Viridiplantae, Streptophyta, Magnoliopsida, Malvales, Malvaceae. The record is from RefSeq and is a predicted model, not a curated record.